AGGAAGGUGGGGAUGACGUCAAGUCAGCAUGGCCUUUAUAUCCUGGGCUACACACACGCUACAAUGGGAAGGGACAAUAGGUUGCGAAGCCGCGAGGCGGAGCCAAUCCAGCAAAACUUCCCUCAGUUCAGAUUGCAGGCUGCAACUCGCCUGCAUGAAGUUGGAGUUGCUAGUAAACGCAGGUCAGCCAUACUGCGUUGAAUACGUUCCCGGGGCUU
RNAcentral lists this ribosomal RNA (218 nucleotides) under uncultured Anaerolineaceae bacterium. RNAcentral describes it as "partial 16S ribosomal RNA". It matches the Rfam family "Bacterial small subunit ribosomal RNA", at positions 1167 to 1382 of the family's 1533-position model. The record is from RNAcentral. Lineage: Bacteria; Bacillati; Chloroflexota; Anaerolineae; Anaerolineales; Anaerolineaceae.